GAUGAAGAACGUAGCGAAAUGCGAUAACUAAUGUGAAUUGCAGAAUUCCAGUGAGUCAUCGAAUCUUUGAACGCACAUUGCGCCCUUUGGUAUUCCGAAGGGCAUGCCUGUUCGAGCGUCAUUAUCACCCCUCAAGCCCUCGGCUUGGUGUUGGACGGUUUGGUGGAGGCCCCCACGGGGGUUCCUGCCCCUCCCAAAGACAAUGACGGCGGCCUCGUUGGACCCCCGGUACACUGAGUUCUUCACGGGACACGUAUCGGACACAUGGGUUUACGGGACACGGUCUGCCUCCCCUCAGGGAGAAUCUUUCUAAGGUUGACCUCGGAUCAGGUAGGGAUACCCGCUGAACUUAAGCAUAUCAAUAAGCGGAGGA
This 373-nucleotide unclassified non-coding RNA is filed under the name soil metagenome. Its description in RNAcentral is "partial contains 5.8S ribosomal RNA, internal transcribed spacer 2, and large subunit ribosomal RNA". The stretch from base 1 to 121 matches the Rfam family "5.8S ribosomal RNA", at positions 35 to 154 of the family's 154-position model. The record is from RNAcentral.